This 473-nucleotide ribosomal RNA is filed under the name uncultured bacterium. RNAcentral's name for it is "bacterial SSU rRNA". It matches the Rfam family "Bacterial small subunit ribosomal RNA", at positions 29 to 490 of the family's 1533-position model. The record is from RNAcentral.
AUUGAACGCUGGCGGCAUGCUUUACACAUGCAAGUCGAACGGCAGCACGGGUGCUUGCACCUGGUGGCGAGUGGCGAACGGGUGAGUAAUGCAUCGGAACGUGCCCAUGAGUGGGGGAUAGCCCGGCGAAAGCCGGAUUAAUACCGCAUACGCCCUUAGGGGGAAAGCGGGGGAGUCUUCGGACCUCGCGCUAUUGGAGCGGCCGAUGUCGGAUUAGCUAGUAGGUGAGGUAAAGGCUCACCUAGGCGACGAUCCGUAGCUGGUCUGAGAGGAUGAUCAGCCACACUGGGACUGAGACACGGCCCAGACUCCUACGGGAGGCAGCAGUGGGGAAUUUUGGACAAUGGGCGCAAGCCUGAUCCAGCCAUGCCGCGUGAGUGAAGAAGGCCUCGGUUGUAAGACGUCUUCUAGUGGAAGAAAGACGGAGUGAGUUAAUACUUAGUCCGGUAGUGACGGUACCGACCACGAAGAAG